AUUGAACGCUGGCGGCAGGCCUAACACAUGCAAGUCGAACGGUAACAGGAAGAAGCUUGCUUCUUUGCUGACGAGUGGCGGACGGGUGAGUAAUGUCUGGGAAACUGCCUGAUGGAGGGGGAUAACUACUGGAAACGGUAGCUAAUACCGCAUAACGUCGCAAGACCAAAGAGGGGGACCUUCGGGCCUCUUGCCAUCUGAUGUGCCCAGAUGGGAUUAGCUAGUAGGUGGGGUAACGGCUCACCUAGGCGACGAUCCCUAGCUGGUCUGAGAGGAUGACCAGCCACACUGGAACUGAGACACGGUCCAGACUCCUACGGGAGGCAGCAGUGGGGAAUAUUGCACAAUGGGCGCAAGCCUGAUGCAGCCAUGCCGCGUGUAUGAAGAAGGCCUUCGGGUUGUAAAAUACUUUCAGCGGGGAGGAAGGGAGUAAAGUUAAUACCUUUGCUCAUUGACGUUACCCGCAGAAGAAGCACCGGCUAACUCCGUG
Molecule: ribosomal RNA, 490 nt
Filed under: uncultured bacterium
Lineage: Bacteria
Description: partial 16S ribosomal RNA
Rfam family: Bacterial small subunit ribosomal RNA
Source: RNAcentral